AUGCUAACACUGGUGUACUCGU
Molecule: non-coding RNA, 22 nt
Filed under: Arabidopsis thaliana (thale cress)
Lineage: Eukaryota; Viridiplantae; Streptophyta; Magnoliopsida; Brassicales; Brassicaceae
Source: RNAcentral